This 525-nucleotide ribosomal RNA is filed under the name uncultured bacterium. RNAcentral's name for it is "bacterial SSU rRNA". It matches the Rfam family "Bacterial small subunit ribosomal RNA", at positions 984 to 1509 of the family's 1533-position model. The record is from RNAcentral.
ACAUCCAGAGAACUUAGCAGAGAUGCUUUGGUGCCUUCGGGAACUCUGAGACAGGUGCUGCAUGGCUGUCGUCAGCUCGUGUUGUGAAAUGUUGGGUUAAGUCCCGCAACGAGCGCAACCCCUAUCCUUUGUUGCCAGCGAUUCGGUCGGGAACUCAAAGGAGACUGCCGGUGAUAAACCGGAGGAAGGUGGGGAUGACGUCAAGUCAUCGUGGCCCUUACGAGUAGGGCUACACACGUGCUACAAUGGCGCAUACAAAGAGAAGCGACCUCGCGAGAGCAAGCGGACCUCAUAAAGUGCGUCGUAGUCCGGAUUGGAGUCUGCAACUCGACUCCAUGAAGUCGGAAUCGCUAGUAAUCGUAGAUCAGAAUGCUACGGUGAAUACGUUCCCGGGCCUUGUACACACCGCCCGUCACACCAUGGGAGUGGGUUGCAAAAGAAGUAGAUAGCUUAACCUUCGGGAGGGCGUUUACCACUUUGUGAUUCAUGACUGGGGUGAAGUCGUAACAAGGUAGGCGUAGCGAG